Molecule: long non-coding RNA, 723 nt
Organism: Helianthus annuus (common sunflower)
Lineage: Eukaryota; Viridiplantae; Streptophyta; Magnoliopsida; Asterales; Asteraceae
Exons: 2
Source: RefSeq, a predicted model, not a curated record
AUAAAAGUUAUUUUUGUGUGUGGAGAAGUUGUUUUGGAGAAGUUAGAAAUUCUAACUUAUAACUUAUGACUUAUAUAAGUUAAUAAGUUGUUUUUGAGAAGGAAUCCCAAACACAGAGAACGCAGUGAUAGAAGGGGAGUGAUAGAGAGAGGAGCGGCGGUGAUGGAGGAACCGGCCAUUGUCUUCCGCCGGCCACCCUCUUCGCCUUCGGUCAGACCGGUGGUCACAAUAAUGUUAUCGGUGGUAGCUGAAGCCGACAAUGACGGCUGGGGGUUCUAGGGUUCCGACGAGGGUUCCGGUGACACUCAUCGGAUGAUCUAGAGAAAGAACAGGAGACUUGAAGGUGAUUUUGAACAACCACAAUCUUAGAGACUUGAAUUAGUGUUCGGUGAAGUUGACUAGGUUUCCGACGAGAUUCCGACGAGAGAGAGAGACGUGAGAGCAGGGGAGACGUCGUGCACCAGCUGCGGAGCGCGGUGGCUGGCCACCGCAGAAGGCGGUCAGCUUUUGGCCCCUUCGUUACCGGUCAUCCAUGAAACCGACUUUUCUUGACGAUGAGGACUACCACAAUCACGGUUGCGAAUGAGCGAAACAGAACAAUGUAGCAUCGACUAGGUAGCUUAUUUCUAUAUUUUUUUCCGAUCUUUUUGGUUACACUUUGUUUGAUGAUUGUUUAAGAGAAUUGAGUUUCUGAGGUGGAAUUUUCAUGUGAUUGAUGUUUGA